ACGCUCUUCCUUCCUUGAACAGACUUUCAGGGAACCAAACCCAACUUUGAAAGCCGUGUUCUUUACUUCCCAAAAACAAAGAAAAGCCGUGUUCUUUGCAAAAGGUUUCUUAUUAUUUCCUUUUUUGGGUCAUACUCAUACAUACUGUUCUUUGCAAAAAGCUUGAUCUGCUCAGGUUUGGGUUUUUCUGUUUGGUUUCAAAGGAAAUUCAGCCUCAAGUUUUGUACUUUCCAGUGCUCAGGUCAGUCGUGAUCUUUCAUUUCUCGGGAACCAAACAAGAAUAGCAUUUCUUGUUGCUAAUGCCUCCAGAAUGUUAGUGUUUCUCAGUCACUCUGGUUGACACUACCAUUACACGGUUUACAAUUUGCUUGGAGAUUAGCAGUUCUUGUUGGAGAAGUUCUGUCAUGUUCUCAUGGUUGAGCUUCAUUUUUGCAUUUGUUAGCCUGGCAGCUCGAGUACAGAAAACACUGCAAGGUUCAUCUGACGAUAUUGGAUGGUUGCCGCGCGCUCUUGGCAUGCCUGGUGUGGAGGAUGGUACAGCAAGAUUCUUGGAACUGCUUGCAGGAAUAAGGAAUGGGGAGCACACAUUGCCUAGCUCAUUUGUCUAUCUGCUUAUUCCGGGUGAAGAAAAUUUAUUUUUCUCUUUUGGACUUUGUUCUUCUCCCCUGUUCAAUCGACAUUUAGUGUUUUGGCACCUAUAGUUAUGGGAACUUUGAUUUUCCAAGCCUCUGGCAAUCACGGCAUCGUAUACUUUGUUGGAACAAAGAAAUUCUUUUCGAAGAUGGAUCUAGCUUGUCAUAUUGCAAAAAUUCAGAGUGAGGCAUCUGUUGAGCACAAUGCAUGGGAACUCAAGCAAUAUAUUGAGGAGUUUUACUGGGAAUCCGGUAAGCGUGUGAUGCUGCUGGGCAAAACAAGGAAGGUGAGAAGCCUGUAUUCCAACGAAGUAUAAUGCCGACAAAGCUUAUGCAUGAUACAUUCAUUGCUUUUUUCUUUCCUUCUUUAUUUUAGCUUUCGCAUCUUGUUCCAUUACUCAUAGAUUGAGUUAGGAGCAAAAUCUUUAUGAAAUACAGUUACCUAACAAUCACGUUUAUUCCACAAUACCAAAAAUCCUUUUUUCAUGAAACUAAAAUGUACAUAAAUGUUGGAUGAAAAACCGUAUCAUUUCUAGUUCCCAACUAUCUGUUUAAAUUCGUUUUCCCAACGUAAAUGUUAUACUGCAUUUGUCUCAU
This is a long non-coding RNA of Prunus persica (peach), 1229 nucleotides long. RefSeq lists it as uncharacterized. Lineage: Eukaryota; Viridiplantae; Streptophyta; Magnoliopsida; Rosales; Rosaceae. The record is from RefSeq and is a predicted model, not a curated record. The transcript is spliced from 5 exons.